UCGAUCCGACCGAUUUGAACACCGGUUAGACCGGUUCCUUCAGAAUCAGCUAUUUUGAGGUCAUCUUGCCCCCCAGCCGAACUCACACAUCGUUCAGCUAUUUUAUUUGAAACAUGUCCAACAUCAAGGGCAAUAUGAUCAAUAGAACUAUCCGAUGAUUCUUCAAUGUUCGGCUUUUCUAUGUUUAGUGUCAAAUCUGGAUUUUUAUUUAAUCUACCAUCCUUUUUGAC
RNAcentral lists this long non-coding RNA (230 nucleotides) under Setaria italica (foxtail millet). RNAcentral describes it as "long non-coding RNA (SITA_LNC000643)". The record is from RNAcentral. Lineage: Eukaryota; Viridiplantae; Streptophyta; Magnoliopsida; Poales; Poaceae.